AGUGAGAAUAUUGGUCAUGGGCGCAGCUGAACAGCCAUGGCGCGUGAAGGAUGAGGCUCUGGGUGUAACUCUUUUACAGGGAAAAAACUAUAGUUCUACGAUAGCGACGUACCUGGGAUAAGCACGGCUAACUCGUGCAGCAGCGCGUAUACGGAGGGUGCAGCGUUAUCCGGAUUUACUGGGUUUAAAGGGUGUGUAGGCGGGCUUUUAAAGUCAGUGGUGAAAUCUCCGGGCUCAACCUGGAAACUGCCAUUGAUACUAUUAGUCUUGAAUUUUGUUGAGGUGGGCGGAAUAAGUCAUGUAGCGGUGAAAUGCAUAGAUAUGACUUAAACCCCAUUGCGAAGGCA
Molecule: ribosomal RNA, 347 nt
Filed under: uncultured bacterium
Lineage: Bacteria
Description: bacterial SSU rRNA
Rfam family: Bacterial small subunit ribosomal RNA
Source: RNAcentral